RNAcentral lists this long non-coding RNA (1392 nucleotides) under Homo sapiens (human). Its description in RNAcentral is "HSALNT0346715". The record is from RNAcentral. Lineage: Eukaryota; Metazoa; Chordata; Mammalia; Primates; Hominidae.
CUUAUUUCCAGUUGGCUGCUUUUCCCCUCUUGCUGCCAGAAGCAGGAGGAGAUUUUUCUCUGAGCUUCAAUUGAGAAACUGCUGGGGCUCGCUGAGGUAAAACUCAUAACAAACUAGGCCUCUUAGAGCUUUUAUCUUUCAAACUUGACUACAGUGAACCUCUAGCAAUUUGUCUAAUAUAGUUUAAGAUUUUCUACUUUAACAUGCUUACAGAGAGGUUUCUGCACUUGGACUUCUGUUCUAAUAUGCUGUAAUCUUCUUUGUUUGCCUGUGCUUUAUAAUGGAGAUAAAACAAAGAUGUUAAUUGUAAACUAAUACUAUUUGGCAGUUUGAGGAAGAGGCAUCUGAACAGAUGCCUGAAGAACAUGAACAAACCGGUCAUAUGAAGAUGUAGGAUCAGAAUGUUCAGGAAAAAGAAAAAGCAAGUGAAAACUUUUACAGUCAGAAUGAGCUUGGCUUAUUUGGAGAAUAGGCGAUGAAAUAAACAGAGACUUGCAACAAAUAGGAGAGCAGCAAUUGAAGAACCGUGGUUACACUGCAAAGGAUAUCAAUGCUCACAGCAUCUCAGAGCGCUAGUCUACCCUGCCACCCUUAUGGAUAAUAUAUUUCUGGACUUUGAAUCGAGUCAGUACCCAGAACUACAGGACUGUCAAAUGCUUCUGAAGAGUCUCCUUUACUUCAUCCUUCAGUUGCAAUACAUCAUUUUUGUUCUUUUGCUUCUGUUAUUUUAACAUAGUCUACAGAUAUUUUCAAGAGCAGUCUAAUCUAUUUUUUUAAUUGAACUUUAUAUUGACAAAAAAAGGUAUCUCAAAUUCAAAAACGAUGAUGUACAAUGGCUUCUGUCUUUGGUUUUAUAAUGCUUUCAUCAUCAUUAGAACAUUCAAAAUGUAACAUCGCUUGCAGUAUUUUAUUCAAUUUUUUUGUUUUUUUCCCCAAACAAAGUAUGAAAGUUAUAAUUCAAAAUAAGGCUUAUAUGGACAAUGAAUAAAAAAAUCAAGAUGUACCCCAUAAAUUAGUUUGGAUUAUUUUAGUAAGUAUGAUAAUAAAAUGAUAAAAUUUUUUCUUAACCAAAGUAGUCAAGAUAAAAGAGUUUCAUAAAACCACUGUCUAUAAUAAAAUAACAUCAGUACAUAAAAUAUAAAAUUUGUACAAUAAGAAGAUAACAUUGUGAACAAUUUAGGCUAAUAAGUUUUAAAAUUUGGAUUAAACGUACAAAUUUGUAACAAAUAUCACUAAUAAAAGAGGGUGUAAUAAUCAAUUUUAAAAGAUGCAACGUCCAAAAUCUAUUAAACUAAUUCAGCAUCGUUAAAUCAUUCCAACAGCAAAACAACAAAAAUGUCAUGCCCAGAUGACUUUAUUGGUAAAUCAUUUAAAUAUUUAAAAAGAAAAAAC